Anolis carolinensis (green anole) is the source of this 639-nucleotide long non-coding RNA. RefSeq lists it as uncharacterized. The record is from RefSeq and is a predicted model, not a curated record. The transcript is spliced from 3 exons. NCBI's taxonomy places the organism in Eukaryota, Metazoa, Chordata, Lepidosauria, Squamata, Anolidae.
CUUUUCACUAUGAUUGUGAAAACAAACAAACUCUGCAGUUAAUAAAAGAAGGAGAAGUUCUGAAAGCCAAUAUUCAGAAAUGGGGCUACAAAGUGGAGUCCACGACAUGUGAGAGUGGAGAAGAGCAAAAUACAGACCACUUACUACAGUGCAGCCAGAUUCCUGCCACAUGCACAAUGGAAGACCUUCUUACAAUGACACCAGAGGCACUCCCCAAGUGGCCAGCUUCUGGGAGGAAGCAAGAAACAGCUGUACCACCCUCUGAUUCACCACUUUUUAUAAAAUCAAUAUGUGGCAUCAAAAUAUUUGAACGAUGGCAUGUAUGGAUAGAUCUUUUCCUUGACAUCUCAAUUAGUUCAUAAGAUUGAUACACAAAGACCAGAACAUGAACAUAGUUGAAAGAAAAUGCCAAAUAAAACCUGAGAAAAAAAUCACAUAAAAUCAUCAGAAUUCUUAAGGUUUUGUUAAAAAAAAAAAAUAAGGUGACCCCGUCCCUUAGACACACAAAGGACUUCCGUCUUCCGAGAACUCUGGAGGAUCACACUGCCCCAUCAUUAGUGGAAUAUGAAGCUCAUCUUGUUUUUAAAAGUAAUCAGAAUAAUGUUGUGGGGAUGCCAUUAAAGAAAUUCAAACCAACCU